Molecule: ribosomal RNA, 253 nt
Filed under: uncultured bacterium
Lineage: Bacteria
Description: partial 16S ribosomal RNA
Rfam family: Bacterial small subunit ribosomal RNA
Source: RNAcentral
UACGUAGGGGGCAAGCGUUGUCCGGAGUUAUUGGGCGUAAAGAGCGUGUAGGCGGCCCGAUUAGUCCGCUGUGAAAGUCCAGGGCUCAACCCUGGAAUGCCGGUGGAUACUGUCGGGCUAGAGUCCGGAAGGGGCGAGUGGAAUUCCUGGUGUAGCGGUGAAAUGCGCAGAUAUCAGGAGGAACACCAAUGGCGAAGGCAGCUCGCUGGGACGUGACUGACGCUGAGACGCGAAAGCGUGGGGAGCAAACAGG